UACGGAGGGUGCGAGCGUUGUCCGGAAUCAUUGGGCGUAAAGGGCGCGUAGGUGGCGGCUUAAGCGUGCGGUGAAAGCUCGGGGCUCAACCCCGAGUCGGCCGUGCGAACUGAGUCGCUUGAGCACUGUAGAGGCAGGCGGAAUUCCGGGUGUAGCGGUGGAAUGCGUAGAGAUCCGGAAGAACACCGGUGGCGAAGGCGGUUCUCUGGGCAUUACCUGACGCUGAGGAGCGAAAGUGUGGGGAGCGAACAGG
RNAcentral lists this ribosomal RNA (253 nucleotides) under uncultured bacterium. Its description in RNAcentral is "partial 16S ribosomal RNA". It matches the Rfam family "Bacterial small subunit ribosomal RNA", at positions 524 to 776 of the family's 1533-position model. The record is from RNAcentral.